Molecule: non-coding RNA, 529 nt
Organism: Theobroma cacao (cacao)
Lineage: Eukaryota; Viridiplantae; Streptophyta; Magnoliopsida; Malvales; Malvaceae
Source: RefSeq, a predicted model, not a curated record
UUUCAUCGAGGCUACCAUUGGAUUUGCAUCCUCCAAACUGGAGCCAAUGAAAUGCAUAAGAUAAGUGAACAAAAUGAAGAGAAGCCUUGGGAAACAAAUGACGUUCAAAACGACCUGGUACACCACUUGCAAAGUAUUGCAUGUUUGAUGGAAAAGGUUGUUGAAAUCAUUUGAGAAAGUUCAUUGAAAAGUGCUUGAAAUUUAAGAUUGUAUUGAUUAUGGGUGCCAUAAGAUUGGUACUUUAAUUUUAUAGAUUAUGAUGUUUUUCAUCGCGAUGACCAAAUUAGGCCUAGCGGAGCAUUCCAAAUCUACAAUAGUGAAAGCUUUUGAAGGGGAAGAAAAAAUGAUUUGCUUUUAAUUAAGCUUCACAGAAAUUGCCUCAUUGAUCAAAACUAAGGCAUUCUCAACUUCUUAUCUCUGCCAACACUUUUUUUUUAAAAAAAAACACAAACACUUUUCAUUAUAAUUUAUGUUAACAUAAGCCCUACAAGCCUAUCUGUGGUUUUAUGGGAAUUGCAAUUUUGAGAUA